Molecule: long non-coding RNA, 1102 nt
Organism: Rhineura floridana
Lineage: Eukaryota; Metazoa; Chordata; Lepidosauria; Squamata; Rhineuridae
Exons: 3
Source: RefSeq, a predicted model, not a curated record
GUUGCAGCCAAAGAAGAGCGGCAGCAGCACCUCACAGCAAUCCUACGCGCAGGCAUUUCCCACCUGAGUGGUGAAGAGUUUAUUUUCCUCUCCCUACGCCGUGUAGGUGUGACCCACUGGCAGAAAACAUAUUGUAGCCAGCCGGAAAAAAGGGGGGGGGACGAGCCCGAUUUACGGAAAGACCCGACCAAGAAAUCAAGGGAAGGGAUCGUGCGUUCAUCUACCAGCCUUCUCUCCCUUCGCCCCCCCCCAAUAAGUUAUUGGUAAUCACUUCAUGGCGGCUCAGAAGAUAUCCUCCCGGGCACCGGGUGCAAUGCAAGCGAUUUGCAACCAGAGGCUCCAACUACCGGUUGCAUUGCAUUCCUCUGACUGCUACAGAGGUUGAAAGUGGGAGGGGAAUCUCGCUGGCAAGGAAAAGCCAGCCAGCCGGACCUAUCCCCUUAGCAAAACAAACAGCGGAGAAGGGGCGGAGUGGGAAGUCAAGUGUCCUGCGGCCGAGCGAGGCUGCCGACGCGCGCCUGCCCGCCGGCCGGCCGCCACUCACCUUCUGUUGCCGCCUGGCCAUGUCUGUGGGCUGCUUGGCGUUAAACGGGGUCCCCAUAAGUUGGAAUCGACUUGAAGGCAGGGAUGAUACUGUGCUAGGACCAUCAAGAGGUCACCAGUAACAUCAGAAAACCUGACCAUAGGUAUCUGGUGGAAAAAUAAGGAGCUAUACAGCUGGCAAAGGCACAGAACCCUGCCGAACUUUUGCCUGCUAUGAUGCUCGUAUAUGGACACAAGCGCUGUUAGAAAAUAAAACUGGCUGUCAGCCCUACAAAGAUGGAUUCCUUUUGGGACUCGGGUUGCCACUUAGCAGGGUUUAACAGUUAAUGACUUUAACUGUUGAAUGUCCAAAAUUCAACAAAUAACAGCUGUUCCCAGAAUGGAAAUUGACUAUUAGAAAGCAUUUUAGAGGUCACAGGCUCGGUGACCUAUCAAAGUAACUCCAAAUCCUUGCCCUCUUUCAGUGGGUAGGCAAAGGUCUUCAUGAUCGCCUAGCACUUAAUUAAAGAUGUGUUUUUAAAUUUGUAUAUUUGUUUUAAUGUUUUUAGUUACUGUAAAC